This 256-nucleotide long non-coding RNA is filed under the name Fukomys damarensis (Damara mole-rat). RNAcentral's name for it is "lncRNA (ENSFDAG00000027380.1)". Lineage: Eukaryota; Metazoa; Chordata; Mammalia; Rodentia; Bathyergidae. The record is from RNAcentral.
CAGCGCUGCAGAUAAUUCCUUUUCGGAGAACCUACAUUUCUCACCUGCUGAUUGCAAUUAGCCACUGCCAGCUGGGGCCUGGUGUGCAGCUGAAAAGCUAACAAGAAGUGGAGACCACGCGGAACCCAGACAGGGCAGAGGAGGUGCCUCUCGAGGAAUGAAGAGCCUUCCUGUAUGAUUUUUUCCACUUAGUGAAGGACCAAGAGCCACAGAAUCUGGAUGGCCUUUUGACAUUAUGUGGAAGAUCUGGAGACGC